RNAcentral lists this long non-coding RNA (716 nucleotides) under Anser brachyrhynchus (Pink-footed goose). RNAcentral describes it as "lncRNA (ENSABRG00000016447.1)". The record is from RNAcentral. Lineage: Eukaryota; Metazoa; Chordata; Aves; Anseriformes; Anatidae.
CUUGGAGGAUCUGCCACAUGCUGUCUCCAGAUGAUGCUGUUUGGAAGGGUUGGCUCAGAGCAGCAAACUUUGUUCUUGCACCUGGAUGCGUGCACUGAUUGACAGAAAGGAGGAAGGCUGGCAGCACAGAUUUGGCAGCUCAACAAUAUUCUUGAUUAUGCUUGUUCUGGAAGAAACUCUUGCCCCCAGAAGACACACUUUGAGGGAAGACUAAAGCUUACUCCAAGAUUAAGCUCACUCAGUCAGGCAACAGAAACCCUCCACACAUAUCCCUGUUCAAACAAAACAGACCAGAUGUAAAGAAUGAAAACUUUCUCUUGAGUACAUGAAAAUCAGCUCCAAGUCAAGCAUUAAUUUGAAAUGAUUAUGCUGCAAACCCUUACAGCCAGCUAGAACCUUCCAGAAUCUUAUUGGUCAUUUGUAGACAAUAUGUAAACAUAAAUGAGACUCAGUGAAUGGAACCUACUCCAAUAAUCAAAUUACACAACCAGCUGUGGGUCCACCAAAAAGCCUUUUUGGCUGCAGACAGCACCUAUGAGAGUAGAAGGUGCUUUGGGAAUGAGAAGCACAGGGAGAGGAGCAAAGAGAUCGUGACUCUUCACAAGGAGGCAUUAUCAAAACUGUCCAGGACUGUAAUUUGGUCAGAUGGUAGGAUCCCUGAACAGAAAGGCAGAGAAAGAGAAUGGAGUUUGGAGGAAAAAGAGAAGGAAAAGUAG